CGGGCUCUUCGGAGCUAGUGGCGGACGGGUGAGUAACGCGUGAGAAUCUGGCUUCAGGUUCGGGACAACAGUUGGAAACGGCUGCUAAUACCGGAUGUGCCUAAGGGUGAAAGAUUUAUCACCUGAAGAUGAGCUCGCGUCUGAUUAGCUAGUAGGUGUGGUAAGAGCGCACCUAGGCGACGAUCAGUAGCUGGUCUGAGAGGAUGAUCAGCCACACUGGGACUGAGACACGGCCCAGACUCCUACGGGAGGCAGCAGUGGGGAAUUUUCCGCAAUGGGCGAAAGCCUGACGGAGCAGUACCGCGUGAGGGAGGAAGGCUCUUGGGUUGUAAACCUCUUUUCUCAGGGAAGAAUGAUGACGGUACCUGAGGAAUAAGCAUCGGCUAACUCCGUGCCAGCAGCCGCGGUAAUACGGAGGAUGCAAGCGUUAUCCGGAAUGAUUGGGCGUAAAGCGUCCGCAGGUGGCAAUGUAAGUCUGCUGUCAAAGCGUCUGGCUCAACCAGAUAAAGGCAGUGGAAACUACAUAGCUAGAGUAAGGUAGGGGUAGAGGGAAUUCCUGGUGUAGCGGUGAAAUGCGUAGAGAUCAGGAAGAACACCGGUGGCGAAAGCGCUCUGCUGGACCUUAACUGACACUGAGGGACGAAAGCUAGGGGAGCGAAUGGGAUUAGAUACCCCAGUAGUCCUAGCCGUA
Molecule: ribosomal RNA, 691 nt
Filed under: uncultured cyanobacterium
Lineage: Bacteria; Bacillati; Cyanobacteriota
Description: bacterial SSU rRNA
Rfam family: Bacterial small subunit ribosomal RNA
Source: RNAcentral